Molecule: long non-coding RNA, 2710 nt
Filed under: Ananas comosus (pineapple)
Lineage: Eukaryota; Viridiplantae; Streptophyta; Magnoliopsida; Poales; Bromeliaceae
Description: long non-coding RNA (ACOM_LNC005982)
Source: RNAcentral
AAAGAGCGAACAAAAAUGCUAAGCCGUGUUUGAUUCGCUUAUUUUUUACCGUGGAAUCGGAAUCGGAAUGGGCAAAUCCGUUUGUGAGUGUUUGGUACGCGGGAGUCACAUUCCGAUUCCGAUUCUCGAGUGGAAUGAGAAUCCCCCAAUCACCUCUUUUUCAAAUCUGGCCUAGAAGGCCAGAUUGGAAGUUGAAUCCGGACGGAAUUAAAUUUAUUUUUUUAACUUUUUAAUUAAAAUAUGAGUUUAAAUUUAGAAGUUAAAUAUAUAAUUUUAAUUUUAAUUUAAACUUGAAAUAAAAAUGCAAAAUUUAAUGAAGUAUUUCAAAUCUAACUUGUGAAUUUGAAUUUAAAUUAAAUUUUAAUUUAAUGCGUAAUAUACUAAACUGUACGUAAUUUAGUAUAAAAAUUAUACAAAAUGUGUAUUAACAAUGCAUAUGUUGUACUACUUAUACAGAUAUUAUACUAUUUGGAAGAGUAUGUUGCAAUAUUUGAGAGUAUGUUGCACUCUUUCAUCUUAUUAAUUAUUUUUUAUUCUUUUUAUUUUGUCUUGAAUGGGGUUUCUUGUUUCACGAGAAAGUUACAUGUAAUUAUGGCUUAGCAGCUGUCAUUUUUGAAGAAAUUUAACACUUUAUUUAAUAUGCAAUGAAAUUUUAUUUUUUAAAAAAAAAGUGCAACACACAUCUAAAUGGUGCAAUAUCCUCUCAUAAUAGUACAACGUUUACAAAAAUAGUGUAAAUAUCUGUACAAAUAGUGUAAAAUAUGCACUGUUUGUACAUAUAUUGUAUAAUUUUUAUAGUAUGUUGUAAUAUAUUAUAUUAUUUUUGCGUAAUAUACUAAACUAUACGUAAUUUAGUGUAAAAAUCAUAUAAAAUAUAUAUUAACAUUGCAUAUGUUGCACUACUUAUAUAGAUAUUAUACUAUUUGAAAGAGCAUGUUGCAUUAUUUGAGAGGAUGUUGCAUCUUUCAUCUUAUUAAUUAUUCUUUAUUUUUUUUAUUUUGUCUUAAAUGAGGUUUCUCGUUUCACGAGAAAGGUACGUAUAAUUAUGGCUUAGCAGUUGUCAUUUUCAAAAAAUUUGACACUUUAUUUAAUAUGCAAUAAAAUUUAUUUUUCAAAAAGAAAGAAUGCAAUACAUAUCUAAAUAGUGCAAUAUCUUCUCAUAAUAGUGCAACGUUUAUACAAAUAGUAUAAAUAUCUAUACAAAUAGUAUAAAAUAUGUAUCGUUUAUAUAUAAAUUGUAUAAUUUUUACAAUAUGUUGUAAUAUAUUAUAUUAUUUUCACGUAAUAUAUUAAACUGUACGUAAUUUAGUGUAAAAAUCAUGCAAAAUGUGUAUUAAUAUUGCAUAUAUUGCACUAUUUAUAUAGAUAUUGCACAAUUUGAAAGAGCAUGUUGCACUCUUUCAUCUUAUUAAUUAUACAUUAUUCUUUUUAUUUUGUCUUGCAUGAGAUUUCUUGUUUUAUGAGAAAGGUGCAUGUAAUUAUGGCUUAACAGUUAUCAUUUCCAAAAAAUUUGACACUUUAUUUAAUAUGCAAUAAAAUUUAUUUUUCAAAACGAAAAAGUGUAACACACAUCUAAAUGGUACAACAUCCUCUCAUAAUAGUGCAACAUUUACACAAAUGGUAUAAAUAUCUAUACAAAUAGUGUAAAAUAUGCAAUGUUUGUACAUAUAUUAUAUAAUUUUUAUAGUAUGUUGUAAUAUAUUAUAUUAUUUUCGCGUAAUAUACUAAACUGUACUUAAUUUAGUAUAAAAAUCAUGCAAAAUGUGUAUUAAUAAUGCAUAUGUUGCACUACUUAUACAAAUAUUGCACUUUUGGAAGAAUAUGUUGCACUAUUUGAGAGGAUAUUGCACUCUUUCAUCUUAUUAAUAUUCUUUAUUUUUUUUAUUUUGUCUUAAAUGAGAUUUCUUGUUUUACGAGAAUGGUACAUGUAAUUAUCGUUUAGCAGUUGUCAUUUUCAAGAAAUCUGACACUUUAUUUAAUAUGCAAUGAAAUUUAAUUUUUAAAAAGAAAUGAUGCAACACACAUCUAAAUGGUGCAAUAUCCUUUCAUAAUAGUGCAACGUUUACACAAAUGGUGUAAAUAUCUGUACAAAUAGUGUAAAAUAUACACCGUUUGUAUAUAUAUUGUAUAAUAUUUAUAGUAUGUUGUAAUAUUAUAUUAUUUUCGCGUAAUAUACUAAACUAUACGUAAUUUAGUGUAAAAAUCAUGCAAAAUGUAUAUUAACAAUGCAAAUUGUAGUUUUCCGGAGAUUUGUAUCGAAUUGGCUAUAGUAUUAGUGACUGGUCGUCACAUCUGGAGAGUGUUGGACUGAGUGGGAGUCGUUUCUGCACGAAAUGGAUCCAGAAUUAAGUUUUCCGCCCUUGGAUUAAAAGAUGUGCGGUUAGGAUGAUUUGGGCCCCAUAGGGUUGAGUGGGUAGUUGGUUGAAUAGUAUAAUCUAACGGAUAAAAAUAAUCAAAGAGGUUAAUCUAACGGCAGAAAACUUGAUAGUACCAAGUGCUUGGUGCUAUUGAUAGCAUAGCAGCCGGACUCUAAGUAAAAUAUCAAUUUUGUCAUCACAAAUAUGUCCAUCCAAAAACCACAGUAGUAUAAUAUAAGAGGAAUAAAAAUGUCAGAUUACCUCAUAAACUAAACAGGAUUAAGUAUUUAACUUAUAGUUAACUAAAUUUUUUUAACGGAUUCUAACGAUAGGGAUAUACGACUCAGAUCUCA